RNAcentral lists this long non-coding RNA (834 nucleotides) under Nicotiana benthamiana. Its description in RNAcentral is "long non-coding RNA (NBEN_LNC015080)". The record is from RNAcentral. Lineage: Eukaryota; Viridiplantae; Streptophyta; Magnoliopsida; Solanales; Solanaceae.
CACCCAGGUUAUGGUGUCAUAAUAGUAAGUUUUCAGUAAAAAAAAAAAAAGAAAAACAAUUACUUCAUGACUUUAAUCAGUGAAUUCUAUUUCCCAUAACAAAGAAACAUCCAAAAUAUACACAUUUUCUUGCUUCACCUCCCUCAUAUUCCGAGACCCCAAAAUCUGAAAAUUAAUAUGAUUGCCGUUGUGCAAGGAUAACGCGGUUAUAAAAAUGAUAAUUGUUUAUGUGAAACCAUGUUUUAUAUAUUUUUGGGUAAAUAUUAGGUGCGGGUAAAUUUUUAUCGGAUGUGUACCCCAGAUUUGCCUAGUUAAAAAUUAUCUUCGGUUUCGGAGAUUUAGAGGUGUUUUGUUGAAGGGGGAAAGUCUUGGCAUAACUGGUAAAGUUGUUGUCAUAUGAUCAGGAGGUCACGAUUUCAGGCUGUAGAUUGCAGAAAUAUAGGGUGAGGUUGCGUAGAAUAAAUCCUUAUGAUCCGACUUUUCUUCGAACCCUGCGCAUGUUGGAAGAGGAUUGCUAUUAAUAUUUGGAGGAAGGUUUUUAGGCUAAGGGAAUUUUGGAAGAGUAGAAAGAUUUUGGAGAAGAGAAACUUUUAUUACUCAAACUUGUUUUUGAUAUUUUUUGGCUUGAUAUGUUGUGUUUUGUGUGUUAUACAAAUGCCAAAUGCCAUCCCAUAUUUAUAGGGGAGGCUUGCCAAGCUCUUGAGUGUCUAGAGAGUUCUACCACUUCCUAGCUUUGUACAUGUGCUAGAAUUCUAUGGAGAAUUCUAGAGAGUCUAGAGAGUUCUACUACUUUCUAGCUAGGUACAUGUGCUAGAAUUCUAUGGAGAAUUNNNN